GAGGUAACGGCUCACCAAGGCGACGAUCCCUAGCUGGUUUGAGAGGAUGAUCAGCCACACUGGAACUGAGACACGGUCCAGACUCCUACGGGAGGCAGCAGUGGGGAAUAUUGCACAAUGGGCGCAAGCCUGAUGCAGCCAUGCCGCGUGUGUGAAGAAGGCCUUCGGGUUGUAAAGCACUUUCAGUCAGGAGGAAAGGUUAGUAGUUAAUACCUGCUAGCUGUGACGUUACUGACAGAAGAAGCACCGGCUAACUCCGUGCCAGCAGCCGCGGUAAUACGGAGGGUGCGAGCGUUAAUCGGAAUUACUGGGCGUAAAGCGUACGCAGGCGGUUUGUUAAGCGAGAUGUGAAAGCCCCGGGCUUAACCUGGGAACUGCAUUUCGAACUGGCAAACUAGAGUGUGAUAGAGGGUGGUAGAAUUUCAGGUGUAGCGGUGAAAUGCGUAGAGAUCUGAAGGAAUACCGAUGGCGAAGGCAGCCACCUGGGUCAACUACUGACGCUCAUGUACGAAAGCGUGGGGGAGCAAACAGGAUUAGAUACCCUGGUAGUCCACGCCGUAAACGAUGUCUACUAGGAGCUGGGGUCUUCGGACAACUUUUCCAAA
This 605-nucleotide ribosomal RNA is filed under the name Pseudoalteromonas sp. MPWISU_Cu01. RNAcentral describes it as "bacterial SSU rRNA". It matches the Rfam family "Bacterial small subunit ribosomal RNA", at positions 254 to 850 of the family's 1533-position model. Lineage: Bacteria; Pseudomonadati; Pseudomonadota; Gammaproteobacteria; Alteromonadales; Pseudoalteromonadaceae. The record is from RNAcentral.